This is a non-coding RNA of Bradyrhizobium manausense, 204 nucleotides long. The record is from Rfam. NCBI's taxonomy places the organism in Bacteria, Pseudomonadati, Pseudomonadota, Alphaproteobacteria, Hyphomicrobiales, Nitrobacteraceae.
GAAGUCCACUGCGAUGAAGGAGUAGCGACCCACAUCGGCCGCGAGCCGUGCGCAGGCGUCCGCGAGGAUGUCGGCGAAGCGUCGGCAGGGGAGCGCAUAGGCCAGCCAUCGAGCUGCGAGAGAAUGUUUUCCCGAGAGCCGACGCUGUCAACUGAGCGGAAGGCGACAAGAAGGGGUUCUUCCGCAUAUUUGGUGCAGGGUGCA